AUUGGUGCUUGCAUCAUGAUUUACAUUUGAGUGAGUGGCGAACUGGUGAGUAACACGUGGGAAACCUGCCCAGAAGCGGGGGAUAACACCUGGAAACAGAUGCUAAUACCGCAUAACAACUUGGACCGCAUGGUCCGAGUUUGAAAGAUGGCUUCGGCUAUCACUUUUGGAUGGUCCCGCGGCGUAUUAGCUAGAUGGUGGGGUAACGGCUCACCAUGGCAAUGAUACGUAGCCGACCUGAGAGGGUAAUCGGCCACAUUGGGACUGAGACACGGCCCAAACUCCUACGGGAGGCAGCAGUAGGGAAUCUUCCACAAUGGACGAAAGUCUGAUGGAGCAACGCCGCGUGAGUGAAGAAGGGUUUCGGCUCGUAAAACUCUGUUGUUAAAGAAGAACAUAUCUGAGAGUAACUGUUCAGGUAUUGACGGUAUUUAACCAGAAAGCCACGGCUAACUACGUGCCAGCAGCCGCGGUAAUACGUAGGUGGCAAGCGUUGUCCGGAUUUAUUGGGCGUAAAGCGAGCGCAGGCGGUUUUUUAAGUCUGAUGUGAAAGCCUUCGGCUCAACCGAAGAAGUGCAUCGGAAACUGGGAAACUUGAGUGCAGAAGAGGACAGUGGAACUCCAUGUGUAGCGGUGAAAUGCGUAGAUAUAUGGAAGAACACCAGUGGCGAAGGCGGCUGUCUGGUCUGUAACUGACGCUGAGGCUCGAAAGUAUGGGUAGCAAACAGGAUUAGAUACCCUGGUAGUCCAUACCGUAAACGAUGAAUGCUAAGUGUUGGAGGGUUUCCGCCCUUCAGUGCUGCAGCUAACGCAUUAAGCAUUCCGCCUGGGGAGUACGGCCGCAAGGCUGAAACUCAAAGGAAUUGACGGGGGCCCGCACAAGCGGUGGAGCAUGUGGUUUAAUUCGAAGCUACGCGAAGAACCUUACCAGGUCUUGACAUACUAUGCAAAUCUAAGAGAUUAGACGUUCCCUUCGGGGACAUGGAUACAGGUGGUGCAUGGUUGUCGUCAGCUCGUGUCGUGAGAUGUUGGGUUAAGUCCCGCAACGAGCGCAACCCUUAUUAUCAGUUGCCAGCAUUAAGUUGGGCACUCUGGUGAGACUGCCGGUGACAAACCGGAGGAAGGUGGGGAUGACGUCAAAUCAUCAUGCCCCUUAUGACCUGGGCUACACACGUGCUACAAUGGAUGGUACAACGAGUUGCGAACUCGCGAGAGUAAGCUAAUCUCUUAAAGCCAUUCUCAGUUCGGAUUGUAGGCUGCAACUCGCCUACAUGAAGUCGGAAUCGCUAGUAAUCGCGGAUCAGCAUGCCGCGGUGAAUACGUUCCCGGGCCUUGUACACACCGCCCGUCACAC
RNAcentral lists this ribosomal RNA (1354 nucleotides) under Lactiplantibacillus plantarum. RNAcentral's name for it is "bacterial SSU rRNA". It matches the Rfam family "Bacterial small subunit ribosomal RNA", at positions 69 to 1402 of the family's 1533-position model. Lineage: Bacteria; Bacillati; Bacillota; Bacilli; Lactobacillales; Lactobacillaceae. The record is from RNAcentral.